UAAUGUUUAUUUUAAAUAAUUCACAAGUGGAUAUUAUUGGUAAAGGUUUUACAUAAUUAAAAAUGUUUGUUUUCAACAUGGAAAAUAUAUUAUGUAAAGUAAAUAUUAGAUGGCAGUGACAUUUGACAGCCAUGUCAAAUUUUUGUUUUGGUACACUGCUAAAAAUAAGGUUAAAAAUUGUAAAAUCAUGUAUUUUGUUAUUAUUAUUCAUUUCUGGUUUGAGAAUGUGUCUAUUCUCAAUAAAAAUAAAAAGGUAAUAAGGUUUAAAUAAACAUUAUAAAAUGUACACAUCUUUAUUUCUGUAACCUCUUUAUUUAAGAAAAUUAUUAACAGAUAUCUAAUACAAGUGAAUAAGUUUUAGAACAGAAGAAAAUAUAAUGGCAUAGAAGCCAAAUGAUGAUAAAUAAGUAGCCCACUAUAACCCCAACGAGGAAUCUACGAUGAAUGUCCCCCAGUUGCUUUCCAGUAAGUACUCGAUAUGAGAAUUUGAGGAUUUUUCGAACGGCGUCCCAAUUUGUUUAAAUAGUAGGAAAGUCCUCAAGUCUGUGUAAGUAUCCUUUGCUUAUUUGGUUAUGUAGUUAGUCUUCUUUAAACCCUCCUACCCCUCCCAACGAAUCUACGACCUGCCACCGCACAAAAAAUGAGCUGCCGUUCGCAUGAAGGUUUGCGUGUCUGUUCCUUCUGCUAGCCCCAUUUCGACUCCCCAGUAUCUCUAUAGAUAGUCUUUCCUUGAUCCCAUUAGAGCAGACAGGUAAAACGCUUCAACUGUCGCCCUAGAACGUGGGGCAUGUCUUUUUUGCCUCCCUCAGACCCCAUUUGCAUGUUCCCACUACCAUGUCCUUUUAGCCUCCUUUCGGUCUCAUUUGUACUACAACUGUUAGGCAGUGCCCGUCCCCUUGGGCAGCCGAUCUCAGUUUGUGGUGCAGGUGUUUCCGAUAACAUGGAAGCUUGACUUUUGUCAUAUUUUGUGUACGCCCACUGUUACAAGUCUAGCUUGUAGACAUGUUCAACUAGUAGUUAGCCUAUCUACUAGUCCCCAAUGUCUUUAGCCACUCCCACUUAGUGUUACACUUGUAAUACUUGUAACGUACACCCUGAAGUUUGACCCGAGUAAAUAUCGCCCCAGUCUUUCCAAGUAGUUUAGCCCAGAUUCCUCUUGUCUUGUCCCUAGAAACUGUUUCAAGUCUUCUAGUGCCCCCGAAACUGUUUCAGUCUGUUAGUCCCCAUGAAAGAGCCCAUUUUUGUAGUUUUUGUUGCAGAAUGUUAAUAAUUUUUUCCGAAGAGGUAUAAGUACGUACACAUAGUAUUGUGGUGUUGAUUUGGUCGUACUGUUGUUUGUAUAAGUAUGUACCAUUUCAUACAUCAUAGUGUAUUUACAUUGUAACCCCAUAUUAUGUAAACCGUAGUAUACUGGUAUUGUAUUGUAUGUAUCGUACAAGAGAAUAGUAUGUUUAAUAUUGUAGCGUACUUACUAUAUUGUAUUGAUAUUGUACCCAUGAUGAAAGCAUUGGUUAAAUUUUUUGGAAAAUAUUGAUUAAUUAUAUAGACAAACAAUUGAGUAAAAAAUAAAGUAAAAAUUUUUUUAGAAAAUUUUGGUAAAAAAAGUAACGUUAAAAAUUUUUUUUUAAAAUUUUGCUAAAAGUUACAAUUAAAAUGUUUAGAAUAUUGAAUCCACUUAUAGAGUAUAACAAUAUGUUAUAUUUUUUUGCAUGUAUUCUUGUAGAUCAUCAGUUUUUACAGAAUAAACGUUUUUUGUGAUUAUUGAUUUGGUCGUUUGAGUAGAUGUGUGAUAAUAGUUGGUAUGGUCCGUGUAUGAGCUAAUUCGGUAUGGUCUGUGUGAGUAAGUCCCGUGAUUUUCCAGCGAAGCCUAUCUAUAUUGGGUAUGUUAUGCCACAGGUUAGUUGGAGAAGUCGUCCUAGAAGAAGUAACCCCAUGAAGAAGUGAAGAGGGAAACCGUGGCGAGGCCCCUCCACUUGUUCAUGAAGAAGUGAAGAGGGAAACCGUGGCGAGGCCCCUCCACUUAUUAAUGAAGAAGUAGACCCCUUGUUUUUUCAAGCAGCCAGGAGAAAAGCUAUCACUUUUUGAUUUGAAGAUAGCGUACUCUGUCGACACUGUUUUGAAAAUAACCCUUGAUAUAUGGAUUUGUUCAUGUUAGAAGUGAAGAAAAAGUAACCCCAUGAAGAAGUGAAGAGGGAAACCGUGGCGAGGCCCCUCCACUUAUUGAUUAAAAAUGAUGUAUGUUUUCUUGUAUCUGGCAUAUCACAAGUGUAAUACUCGUGAUGAGGAAGUGUUUUACAGUUGUCUGGGAAUACUCCCAUUAAUAGUCGGAGCAAGAACAGUUUUAUUUGUGUAAGCUCAUAUAAGAACCAAGUUUCAAUAUUUGUUUGUGUUUGUAAGCCCAUGUAUAUGGAGUAUGACUAAGAACCAAGUUUCAAUAUUUAUUUGUGUUUGUAAGCCCAUGUAUAUGGAGUAUGACUAGAAGUCUUAAGUUUUUUGUUCCCUGCUUGUUUGUCUAUCCCUUUUUUGUCUGAAAAUUUUAGAGUCUGUUAUCCCGUAUUGUUCUGUUAGCCCCUGUCCAUGAUAGAGAUUGAUUUUUUUGGCGAAUAGUUCGUUGACCUCUCUUGUGUUUGUUUAUUGAAAGUAGGCCAAGAGCAGAAGCUGUGACAAGGCUGGUGAGCUUAGGAUCUGGCCGCGUUGAGUACAGGUGAAGCUUGCUUUCGAUGGAUAAAUGAAAGUGGUCGUUCGUCAGAACUGUCAUUCUUUCCAAUAUCCCUUUGGUCUUUCCCUUGUGUGUUGCUUUCAUCCCUGUUUUGAAAAAGUAGUCUAACCCCAGUUUGGAAAAAUAAAGUCUACCCAUUGUUUUGGAAAAAUAUGGUCUACUUAUGUUUUGGAAAAGUAAGAUCUACUCAUGUUUUGGAAAAGUAAGAUCAUAUCCCCGGUUUUGAAAAGUACAAGUUUAUCCCAGCUAGUGAUUUGAAAAUGUGAAAGUUGUCUUGUGAACUUUCAUGAAAUUCUUUUAUGUCCUAGGUAGGACUGUUGAUUGAAAACGUAAUGAUGUAGUAUUUCCUAUGUCAUGUGUUACGUUUAUUUUUUUUUUUUUUGGUCUUGAUUAAAUAGUUUGAUAUCUCGUUUGAAUCCAGUAUACUAGUUUUUUUUUUUGGUCUUUUAUGUUGUCACACGCAUUCCUCCCCUGUUUGGUCUUGUUUGAAUGAGUUGUUGAGAUAAGUUAUUUGUGACAUUUUAUCUCAACGAGGUAUUUAGACUGGAUUGUCUAAAUCCUCCUUUUGCCGAACCGUUGCCGAUAAAAAUUCCGUGAAACUCGCUAGGUGUUUAGAGUUUAAGCAGAUGCCUAUCUGCUGAGCCAAGAGCUCAGAAAGAUUUUUUAGUUUUUGAAAACCAAUCCUGGUUAGGCAACGAGGUGAUGAGGCUGUGUCUGCCCUGCUAUAUGGUAUAUAUUAUAUGGUAUAUAUAGUAUAUAUGUCACUUGUGUUACUGCAGUGGAUGUCGGCGAGGUCCACACAGGGCACAAGAUUAUUUCUUUCCCAAGGCACAGAAACUCUUGUCACCUACAGUUCUUUGUAGAGUCAAGAAACAUUUAAGUCUACUCGACUUUAAAGAGUCUGGCGAUUGAUGGCACGCUAGCCCACUCCCUAACAAUGAUGUUUUUGUUUUUGUUUAAUCCCCAUUAGCCAUUAUUUAAAUAUUUUUGUAUUGUUGUCCUGUCACACCCAAGAAGUCAAUGUUGGAUUUUUGUAGUUAUCGAAAACUGAAUAAGUAAUCCAGUUUCCUCUCUUCCGAGGAGGCUAUUGUAGCAGAUGGAUUUCUACUACAAUAUUUUAUAAAAAAUAUCCAUUAAUUUUGAUCCUAUCCCAAGAAAAAUAUUAAUUUUUUUAAUAUAUUUUGCGAGUUUAUAUAUCUUUAAAAUUUACUAAGCCGCUCCUGUUCGAAAUAUUUCAGAAUAUUUUCGCAACAAAGUAAAAUCAUAGGAAAGUUCCUAUUUAUUUGAGUAGCAUUUACCAACUACGUAGAUAGUUAUUGUGAAAUCAUUCAUUAUUCGAGAAUAAAUCCUCUAAAAGGUUCAGUGUUUUUCCUUUAAGUUUUGAGCGAUAAAAAUCCCAUGUUAUUAUUGGUCUGCAUUUUGAAAGAUCCUUGAGUUGUAGUUGACGAUUGGUCAAUAGUUUUGGCCGAAAGAUCGAGAAGAAAUGCAUCGUUUGGACGCGAGAGAGACGUGACGAUGUAAAGCCAGUUCUAAAAGUACAUCAGCUCUGUAAGCAUCUUUUUGUUAGAACUCAAAAAGUCGCACUUUGCCGGCCAAAAUGGUUUUCUUCUUAUAGUAAAAGAACUAAUGGAUUUCUAACAUGUCAAGGAAUAUAAUGACAAUAGUUUCACGGCAUUUUAAUGGAUAUAUUAUUGUGAAACAGUUCUAUUGUUAUGCAGUUUGAUUUGCCGGUAAAAGAAGUGCGUGGUUUCCUGGUUCCUGUCCUUUAUGUAGCUGUUGCUAUUUUUAUGAUGUUUUGAUUUGUUCAUGUUCCAGUAAGAAAUGCCCAGAUGAUAUUAUUUGGUAUCGAUUUUAUCCAGUUUUGUAAUGAUUUGAAUAUCUUCCCCUCCCAGCCCCGUCUGAAUGGAAAAUUUUGAAGUUCCAAGUGUUGUGACAUGGAUUUUUGUUUUAACAAGAACAGAAGAAAAUAUAAUGGCAUAGAAGCCAAAUGAUGAUAAAUAAGUAGCCCACUAUAACCCCAA
RNAcentral lists this long non-coding RNA (4740 nucleotides) under Diabrotica virgifera virgifera (western corn rootworm). RNAcentral describes it as "uncharacterized LOC126892949". Lineage: Eukaryota; Metazoa; Arthropoda; Insecta; Coleoptera; Chrysomelidae. The record is from RNAcentral.